This 492-nucleotide ribosomal RNA is filed under the name uncultured bacterium. RNAcentral describes it as "partial 16S ribosomal RNA". It matches the Rfam family "Bacterial small subunit ribosomal RNA", at positions 29 to 507 of the family's 1533-position model. The record is from RNAcentral.
AGUGAACGCUGGCGGUAGGCCUAACACAUGCAAGUCGAACGGCAGCACAGUAAGAGCUUGCUCUUACGGGUGGCGAGUGGCGGACGGGUGAGGAAUACAUCGGAAUCUACUUUUUCGUGGGGGAUAACGUAGGGAAACUUACGCUAAUACCGCAUACGACCUACGGGUGAAAGCAUGGGAUCUUCGGACCUUGCGCGAUUGAAUGAGCCGAUGUCGGAUUAGCUAGUUGGCGGGGUAAAGGCCCACCAAGGCGACGAUCCGUAGCUGGUCUGAGAGGAUGAUCAGCCAAACUGGAACUGAGACACGGGCCAGACUCCUAAGGGAGGCAGCAGUGGGGAAUAUUGGACAAUGGGCGAAAGCCUGAUCCAGCCAUACCGCGUGGGUGAAGAAGGCCUUCGGGUUGUAAAGCCCUUUUGUUGGGAAAGAAAAGCAGCAGGUUAAUACCCCGCUGUUCUGACGGUACCCAAAGAAUAAGCACCGGCUAACUUCGUG